Molecule: ribosomal RNA, 492 nt
Filed under: uncultured bacterium
Lineage: Bacteria
Description: partial 16S ribosomal RNA
Rfam family: Bacterial small subunit ribosomal RNA
Source: RNAcentral
AGUGAACGCUGGCGGUAGGCCUAACACAUGCAAGUCGAACGGCAGCACAGUAAGAGCUUGCUCUUACGGGUGGCGAGUGGCGGACAGGUGAGGAAUACAUCGGAAUCUACUUUUUCGUGGGGGAUAACGUAGGGAAACUUACGCUAAUACCGCAUACGACCUACGGGUGAAAGCAGUGGAUCUUCGGACCUUGCGCGAUUGAAUGAGCCGAUGUCGGAUUAGCUAGUUGGCGGGGUAAAGGCCCACCAAGGCGACGAUCCGUAGCUGGUCUGAGAGGAUGAUCGGCCACACUGGAACUGAGACACGGUCCAGACUCCUACGGGAGGCAGCAGUGGGGAAUAUUGGACAAUGGGCGCAAGCCUUAUCCAGCCAUACCGCGUGGGUGAAGAAGGCCUUCGGGUUGUAAAGCCCUUUUGUUGGGAAAGAAAAGCAGCAGGUUAAUACCCCGCUGUUCUGACGGUACCCAAAGAAUAAGCACCGGCUAACUUCGUG